RNA transcript from Patella vulgata (common limpet), 7049 nucleotides. RefSeq lists it as uncharacterized. NCBI's taxonomy places the organism in Eukaryota, Metazoa, Mollusca, Gastropoda, Patellidae. The record is from RefSeq and is a predicted model, not a curated record. The transcript has 10 exons.
GAGAGCGAGAACGCGAGGAAAAAGGGCGAGAAUACGAGGAUCUCGCCUCGAGAACACGAGAUUACUUUCACCUCGACUUCUCGUCUUCUCGUCCCUCGACUUCUCGCUCCCUCGUGUUCUCGCCUUUGAAAAACCUCGUGUUCUCGCGCCCUCGACUUCUCGCUCCCUCGCCCUCGACUUCUCGCUCCCUCGCGUUCUCGCCCUCGACUUCUCGCCCUCGACUUCUCGCUCCCUCGUGUUCUCGCCUUUGAAAAACCUCGACUUCUCGCUCCCUCGCUCCCUCGCCUUUGGGUCAAUCUCGUCCUCUCGUGUUCUCGCUCCCUCGCUUCGUCACAAUCUCGACUUCUCGUCCUCUCGUGUUCUCGCCUCGGAAGUGCAGUUUAUAACGCAUGUCCACUGACUACCGUAUCGGCAUUUGUAUUCAGUCUGGUAUUUUCAUUCAAAGUCAAAGCCGAUGGAAGCUCUAGCGAUCAACAAAAUUCUCAAUGAUUUGGGCUUAAUCCAUCUCUUAGAUGUAUUUACUGACAAUUCCUAGCUGUUGAUCUGUCAGUGACCAGGGUUUAAGCCACCUGUGCAGAUGUCAUCAAGGUCACUUUAAGAUGUAAACAGCGUUAAUUAUAAUUAGGCUUUUAAUUAGGGCAUGUGAUUGUUGUGGAGGAUUUGUGGGGUUAGGGCUAGUAGCACUAGUUCCCUAGCAUCUCAUGUUGAAAAACUAUGAUAAAUAUGGCCCAUGAUGCUUGAUCACCUUUGAAAAGUUGUGUUGAUGCUCAAGAUCUAGAGGUUAAAGUUAAUAUCGAAUUGACUCUAAAUUUACACACAGUUUAAAGGUCAUGAGAUGAAGAAUCCUAUUGAUUUUCAACAUUUUCCAAUAGUUACUGCCAGAGUUAUGGCCCUUGAUCUCUUUAAGAUAUCUUGUUGACGCUGUAUAGACAAUAUUUAUAAACUUAAUAUCAAUUGACUUUUAAAUUUAAAAUAGCAUUAUGCAAGAGAAAAAUCUGCUUAUUACAGGUCUUUCUUUAGGCCUGAAAUGUUAUCUAAAUAAUCAAUUAGACAUUAAUUAACAUAUCCAGACCAUAAUAAACUCUUUAUGUCAAGGCUAGCCUUCGAUGUUGGCGGAUUAAAUUCCUAUAUGCAGCUUAAUGGCCGUUGAUAAUUAAAUCAAUCAAGUGGAUAAUCGAGACUAUACUGUUUAUAUUAAUGAUUUGAGUAAUGAUGACCAAGGCUAUGUGAAUAUUGGAAACGCUUUUUUCUCGGCUAAUAGUUGAUCAAUUUGACUGAAAUUUUCAGCAAAUUACCUUUACACUAUCUAGUUUUUAACUAUUAUAGUGAGAACUGCCAUCUCUUUAUCUUAUCUCCCAUUAUGUAACUUUAAAGAGUGUUUUAGGCCACAAGACACAUUAGCCUAUUUCCAAUAAUUACUGCUAGAGUUAUGGCCCUUUAUCGCUUCAAAAUAUCUGGUUGACAUUCUAGACGCUAAAGUUAAUAAACAUCUGAUUGAUUUUAGAUUUAUAUGCACUGUUUAAAUUCACGAGACACAGAAGAUUAUUGAUUUCAACAAUUACUGCCAUACUGUAGCGCGUGACCUCUUUCAAAAAUUUUGUAGACUCUUGUGGCUAAAGUUAAUAUCUGAUUGACUUUAAAUAGAGAUUACUAUCAUGAGACAAAGAAUCCUAUUCAUUUUCAAAGAUUUCUGAUAAUUACUGCCAGAUUUAAGGUGGAGUGUGGACGCUCUAGAGGCCAAAAAUCAAUUCAUGCAUUCAUUCACUCUAAAGGCCAAAGUUGAUAUAAAUUGUUUAAAUCAAAACAAUUGGUUUCUGAUGAUUUAUACAUCAUGGGUUAUUACUUGUAAUCAGAUUUUCAUGUGUUGUAAAUGUUCUCAUUACUGACUAAAGAAAAAAUAUGCUUUGGGCGUAUGGUGUAUGUUUUGUUGCCUGGCAAGAGUGGCAACCUAUCUUCUAUUUUUUUUACAAAGGUUUUGUUAAAGUUAAAGUUCAUUGGAAUUUUCCCGUCUGGUUCGUAGUUCCCCCUGUCAGUGAUGUAGGAUGGAGGGACAAUGCAUAGCGGUAGUCGUUCAGAUGGGAUGAAAAACAGGGAUCUGUAUAUACAUUGGUGUGCACGGAAAUGAUCCCUUGACAGUUGGAAUUUUGUAAUAACAUACUGCAUGUCAAGCCCAUCUUCAUUUUGCCCGGUCGGAGCAAGACUGUAGGAUGUUAAACCCCAAUUUAUUUUAUUUCAUUAUAAUCCGUAUGUGUGGGCGUAUGUUUCGUUGCCUGGCAACCUAUUUUUUGAUUUAAAAAGUUUAUCACCAUUACACCCUAAUGAUGUUUGAAUUUUGUGAAAAUCGGACCAAAACUGUCAGACAAAAUGGCCGCUCUUUGUCUGCAAAUUGUGUAUAUAAGUAAUACAAAGGUUAUGGAUACCCUCUAGGGGUCACAAUUUUGAUCCGAUUUUAAUUAAGCUUAGACCAUAUCUUCAUAUAUUAAAAAAAUCUUAGUCCCUUUUGAUAUUUGUGUAUUUCAGAGCGUUACUUUUUGGAUUAUGACCCCUGAUUGUACCAAAAUUUUUUGUUUUUUUUAGCUUAUUCUCUUUUCAUCCCUUGCAAAAUGUGGGAGUUUCCUGCCUGGCAGCUGCUGAUUAUCAGAUUUUAACGAAACUUAAAAUAUAUCUUUAUAUCACAAAGAUGUCAGUCCCUUUUGAUAUUUGCGCAAUUCAGAUCAUAACUUUCUGGAUUAUAGCCCCUGAUCGCAUGGAAAAUCACUUUUGUUCCAGCUUGUUCUCUAACCAUCUCUUGCAAAAUGUGGGCAUAUCGUGUCUAGCAGCCGCUGGUUUUCUUAAUUAAUAUAUGUUUAUUUAACAGGUUGGGCCUCCAGAAGUUCUAACAUUAACCGAUUCAGAAUUUAAUUUCCUUGGUGUGAGUGCUAUUGGGGACCGUGCUAGGUUGAGACAGAGAUGUAGAACAUAUUUGAAUGGUCAGUGUGAAUCGCCAUCUUUAAAGAAAUUCAAAGAGCUAUCAGAAAAGAAAAAAACACAGAAUAACAACAAGUUCAAGUCCAAUCGUAGAUUAUAUACUGGGUGGAAGUUAUCUACAGGACAGAGUUUUAAACUAGUUCCACUAUCUCAAGGAGGGGGAUCUAUAAUUAUGGAUCUUCCCAAAGAGUAUUCUCUUCCAGACCUUCAAAAAAAAAUGAUUGCAACUUUCUUCCCAGAUGGUCAAGCAGUCCAUAAAAACAUAAAACUUUCACAUUGUGAAACAUUCAUCGGAAAUUUUGCUGGUGAACGUGUGCCAUCAAGACUGUUGAAUGGUGAUCUUUUUUCCCUUGAUGGAUAUUUUUCUGAGAUAAAAUCUAAUCCUGUGAGAUUAUAUUUGUAUGCAAAAACCACAACGGUUAAUCAACCACCAUCACCAUCAACUUCAACUACCACAUUAAAUCAACAAACUUCAGCUACAUUAAAUCAACCACCAUCUCCAUCAACUUCAUCUACCACAUUAAAUCAACAACCUUCAGCUACAUGUACUCAACCACCAUCAUCAUCAACUUCAUCUACCACAUUAAAUCAACAAACUUCAGCCACAUGUACUCAACCACCAUCAUCAUCAACUUCAUCUACCACAUUAAAUCAACAAACUUCAGCUACUUGUACUCAACCACAACUAGCAAUUAAUGCUGUAAAUUAUGCAACAAAUAUCAUCAAUGAUGACACAGAUGAUGAACUACCGGAUAUCUCAUUUUAUUCAGGAACACCAACUAUAACCUUCAAGAAAAGUAAAAAAGCUGAGAGCUUGGAAGAGAUUCUAGUUCGCUUGAAUAGUCAGAUAAAAAAUGAGAAAAACAUCAUCAAUGUAAGCCGAGGUGAUGUUUUGUCUGGAACAAGGAGAGCGUUUUCCAGAAAAACCUUCAGGCCCGAAUUCGGUUUAAGCGUCAAAUUUUCAGGGGAAAAUGGUAUCGAUAAUAUCCAGAGAACUUUUACAACUUCUAAUGAGCUCUAUAAAAGAUUCACAAGUGUUUCAAGGGUCAGAGUGUAAAAUGCUCUGUCCUGAUAUCCCCAGUGAAGAAAGAGAUGAUUACAGACUGUUUGGAAAAAUCAUAUCAUAUUCAGUAAUUCACCGUGGUCCAGUGCCAAGAUUCUUUUCUGGAAUCCUUUAUGAUCUGAUAGCUUUUGGCUCUUGUGAACCAAAAUUGGAUGACAUAGUAGAUUAUCAAAUCAGAGAACAAAUUAAAGAGUUGUCAAGGCAGAUGAUGUAAUAAUGUUACAAGAGGCUGCUCAGCCUCUUAUUGGCCAUAUAGACUUUUUAGGAGCUAUACCUCUUAUAUUCGAUGUAAAAAAUAAAGAAAGUCUAGUCACAUUAUUAACACGGUAUUUUGUUGUGGACAGGGUAAAAGGAGUACUGAAUCAGUUCUGUGAAGGGAUGGAUUCUUUAGGUUUGAGAAAGGAAAUAAUUAAAAAUCCAGAAGUCAUGAGAGAACUUUUUGUUUUCUCGUAUGAAAAAUUGUUGUCCAUUAAUAUUGAUCACCUGUUUACUCCGGUUUUUAGCGAAAACAGCUUUUCGCUUGAACAGGAAUUAAACAGCCAUGCUCAUUGGAGAGAUUUUCUUCUGGAUCUUGAAGAAACAGAUGAACUGGGUAGUUUGUUAUCUUUUGUGACUGGUUUAAAGGACAUACCUCCACUGGGAUUCAACCCACCACUAAAGCUACUGUUUAGACACCCAUCUUUUGAAUGGGACAUUGCCCCGUUUGCAAAUACUUGUGCUAAUACCCUUAACAUUCCAGUGUUAAAAGAUUAUGAUGCAUUCAAAACUGCAAUGGCCAUGUCUUUAAGAAUUGGCAAUAUUUUUACUGACGCUUAAAAUAUUAACUUGCCUUUUUCUGUUUUACCCAGUCAGUUUGAAAGUUUUUAAGAUAGUUAUAUUUAAAAACACUUUUUGGUCAUACAACGUAGUCUGUUUUAUCCAAUCAAUUUGAUAGUUUUUAAGAUAGUUAAUUUAAAAUUGCCCUUUUUGUGAUACAACUUAAAUCUGUUUUAUCCAAUCAGUUUGAUAGUUCUUAAGAUAGUUAUAUUUAAAAACGCUUUUUUGUGAUACAACUUAGUCUGUUUUAUCCAAUCAAUUUGAUAAUUUUUAAGAUAGUUAUAUUUAAAAACACUUUUUUGUGAUACAACUUAGUCUGUUUUAUCCAAUCAAUUUGAUAGUUUUUAAGAUAGUUAAAUUUAAAGUAUUGCUUAUGUUUGUUUGUGUAAUAAUUUCUUAUUUACCUUUGGGGGUAACCCGUUUUAAAUUUAUUUCUUUGUGAUAUAUUUUAUGUUCUUUGAUUCAGUUUUUAUUUAUUUCUGUGUAAAGCUGCAACAAUCUAAGAAAAUAUGCAAUGUAUAAAUUUUGCAUUAUCAAUUUUUGCAGUCUGAGUUAUUUAUAAUUUUUAACAUAAAAUUUUAUGUUAAAAGAUGUAUAGUAGUAAUGAAGCAGUAUUUUUUACACCUGCAAACAGAUAAAGUCCGACAAAUAUUACCUUUAUAUUUUUUUAUCGUUUACCUAUUAAAUAUGCUCUUUGUAACUUAAUUUCUUUGUUGUCAGAAUUGCAGUACCGGUAUCAGUAAAACACAAACUACUUCCCUUUGCAAGACUUUUUGUACCAAAUCCUAUGCCUGAACAUUUUGUACAUGUAAAUUUCCUACAAGAAACUGGUUUUCUAUUAUUUGAAAAGGAGAAUUAAAUUGUUUUAAUUUCAUAGGGAAUUUCUUAUUUGACAAUGGGUAGAAAUAAUGAUUAAUAUACAGGCUUUUGCAUAUAAAGUUAAUUUGAAUGUCUUCAUUGCAAUCACAACUAACCUUUUUAAGAUUAAAAUUCUUACAUUAAUUUUUAUACUCCCACAUUGAAAUGUGGUUGUAAAUUUUGUCGUUACCUUGGUUAGCUCUGUUAAUAUCUGAUUGACUUAAGAUUUAUACACAGUGUUUAAGGUCAUCAGACUGAUUUUCAACCAUUUCUAAUAUUUACUGCCACAGUCAUGGCCUUUAAUCACUUUGAAAAACAUUGCAGAUGCUCUUGAGGCUAAAGUCAAUAUCCGAUUCACAUUAAAUUUAUUAAGUGUUUAAGGUCAUGAAUGAUUUUCGAUGUUUACUGCCACAGUCAUGGCCUAUGAUUACUUUGAAAAUUCUUGUGGAUGCUCUAGUGGCUAAAGUUAAUAUCCAAUUGACUUUAAAUUUAUACACAGUGUUUAAGGUCAUCAGUUAAAGAUGCAUCAACAGAACACAAUUUUUAUGGGAAACAAUCACCGGUUUUAUUCUAAAAGCACCACGUUUCGAUAAGAGGAUAGUUGUCGAAACAUCAAAUAAAACCAGUGAUUGUUCCCCAUAAAAAUUUUGUUCUGUUAAUUUGUUUCCCAAUCAAUAAAUGCCACUUAAAGAUUAAGUUAAAGACACUUUUUGAUUUUCAACAAUUUCUGAUAAUUACUGUCAACAUUAUGGCCCUUGAUCACUUUUAAAAUCCUGUGGAUGCUCCGACCAAAGUUAUCAUCUGAUUUGAUAUUAUAUUCACUAAAACAGAGUUGAAGGUUAUGAGAUCUUAUUGAUUUUCAAUGAUUUUUGAUGAACUUAAACAGCUAAAUCCAUGAUAUUAAAUGUUUUGUAUAUUAAACUUUAGCAUGAGCCAAACAAAUUCUAAUGAUUUUCUGUUAAUUACUUAAUGAGUUGUUACUCUUAAUCCGAUUUAUGUGCAUUAUAAAUGUUUCAUUAACGACAAAAAAAAAAUAUGCAACUGUCCAGUCGAUUUAGCUGCUGUGGGGGAUAUUUUUGUUGAGAGGCAACCUAUCCUUAAAUAUGGAUUAGUGUACUGCCAUGUGUUUUAUUAUUGUUGAUGAAUAUGUUUAAUGAUGUUGCCUUAAUUAGGUUCCAUAUUAAAUUGGUUAAGUUUGAUGAUCAACUGUUCCAUGUAAAUUUUGGGUUAAACAUGAUUUUGUACCUUUAGGCAUAGUUAAUGUCAUAAUUUUAAUUUCUUAAAAAAUCCUUUUAUUAAGAAACUGUUAUUGUAUCUUGUUAAGUUAUUAAAUAUUCAUAAAUUU